UCCAUCAUAUCAGCUAGUUCUCUACUUUCCCCUGUAAUUGUACCUACAUUUAGAGUUCCAAAUUUCAGACCAACACUUCUAUCCUUCCUCUUUUCCCUUUUUCUCCUAACCAAUGUGGACUGUGGUAAGAGUCACAAGAGAGACAGUGAAGGAAUCUCCCAGAAGCCUUUAGCAGUAUCUUACAGCGAUGGGUGUGGACGGGGAAAGGUGUGUUCUGGCGUUGUUUCUAUGUGAAUGUUACUGCUGUGACUUGGACCCUGAUACGAUGAGUUGAGCAAGUUGAGCAAGAGAUAAAGUGUAGAAAUCCACAGCUAAUCCAAAAAACAAACAACUCUCUUUAUUAUUUAGUGUUGACCUAUUGGAAUAAAGAUGCUAAUCCGGUCCUUGACAUGUUUUCUCCCACUGCCUCUCAGUUUUUUGUAAGUGACACAUGAACAUACAAGAUUCUGUUGGGUUUUUUUGUUGAUAUUUUGUCUAAAAAUUAUUAUUAUUUUGAAGAACCUACAAAAACUUUAAAUUACAUGUUGUGUGUGUCAUAAUUCCUCAGUACCUAAAGCACAACUUUUCAGUAGGUCACGCAUGUUUUACAGUUACACGACAGAUAUUUAGUCGUGGAAACAAUUAUGUCGUGGAAACAUUAUUGUUGUUCCAGAUCCCCUUUACUAAAGACUGUGGGUUGGAUGAAGUAUGUAACAGUGACUUGGUGCUGAGAGUGACGACCAUUUCUAAGGCAACCAGGUCAGCAUGUCACGUCCUUUUUAACAUGUAGUACAUAUACACUAUGAAAUAUGUGCAGUACUCGGAUACUUUUUGCUCACAUCAUGAUCGACUUGACUUGAUGGCAGUAUCAGAUUUCUGUUGUGCAACUGAAGCAGAUGUUCAGAGGAAAAGUGCAACAAAACAAGAUGAUGUCUUUGCCAUGAGUCCUUUAAAAAAAAGAGGAGGAUAGUUGUAUUUAAGGCUUUUUUUCCACUGCUGUUGUGGUUUCCUGGUGAUUCCUACCAACUGUUUGACCUUUUCUUGUUUCCUCUUUGUAAUGACUUUACAUUUUCCUCUGUUGGGUUAGUUUUGUAUAUAAAAAAAAGCUUUCAUUAAUUAAUUAUUUCAUUAAUUAUUAAAAAGCAUAGCAUUUUAAUUCUUUCUUUAAACUCCACAAGUGAUAUAUAGACUUAUUUGUAAUUACUUUGUUAACUGUAGUUUGCUUCUUACAGUUGACUGUAAUGUUAGUUUUUUCCCGUUUCAGCUCGGCUCCUGUUCUGGUCAGCGCUACUGACAGGGAGCUGUCAUUCCAAGUUGUUGUGUAACCUCUACUACUCCUCCAUCUUCCCUCCUGCGGACAGAGUCAAACACAAACACAGACAGUCGUUUGCCUGGUCGGAUGCCCAGCGUUAAAAUCUAAGCAGGAGGAGAAAUUCCAGAUCAAUUUUGAAUACAGUCUUGAUCAACUUCAAAACCGAGCUGAGCUGAAAUUCGAAGCCAAGAGGCACUCAAAUAUUAAUUUCUAUGUGGCAAAUUCAACCAAUGAGAUUGUAACGACAGUGCAGUCCUUGGACAACAUCGGCCCAGAGUUUAACUACACAGUGAAGAUAAAGGAAGUGGAUCUUUUAGAACUCUAAAUAGUGAACUCUGAUCCAAAUGAUACAUGAUUACUUUUACG
This is a long non-coding RNA of Cynoglossus semilaevis (tongue sole), 1657 nucleotides long. RefSeq lists it as uncharacterized. Lineage: Eukaryota; Metazoa; Chordata; Actinopteri; Pleuronectiformes; Cynoglossidae. The record is from RefSeq and is a predicted model, not a curated record. The transcript is spliced from 4 exons.